GAUCUAAAACGAUGACAUUUUUUGAUUUUUUUUGUUUCUGUCUCUGAAUCCUCUCUCCGCCGUCACGAGUCACGGGACUCACGGCGACUCAAUUGUUUGCACGUUGAUCCCGGCGAAUCCUCUCCACCGGCGAGAUCAGAAGAAGAGAGUCGAGUCUUUCUCUAAUCCCACUUUCAGAGGUCUCUCUCCCUAAUCCCUCAAUUCAAUUUGAGAAUGGUUAAGGAACCCUUGAGAGGAAUCCUCUUUGAUUUUCUCGAGAAAACUAAAGUAAAGUGCCUGAGAAAAUCUUGAUUUUUCCCGAGAAAAUCAAAGAGGAUUCACGCUAUGCCACGUCGCGAGAGCCGUCGUGGUUCGGGAGGAGGUUUCUCGACUCCACCACCGUCACGGAACACGGCGAGAAGAGUUUACGUUGCGAUGCCAAUGUCAGAGAGAAAAAGAACGUCUUCGAUCAAGAAUCAAGAAUCGUUCCACAAGGUUCCUUCUGGUGAUUCUCCUUACGUGAGAGCCAAACAUGCUCAGACCUGAAUCGAGCAAUCUCGUUGUAUUGGGCUGGGAUUAAUGCUGGAGAUCGAGUUGAUAGUGCAUUGAAGGACAUGGCUCUAGUUAUGAACCAGUUGGAUCGAACCAAUGAAGGAAUCGAAGCUGUCAAGUCUUAUCGAUAUCUCUGCCCUUUUGAAUCCCAAGAUUCCAUUGAUAACUUGUUACUUGAUCUCUACAAGAAGUCAGGGAGGAUUCAAGAGGAAGCUGAGUUGCUUGAACGCAAACUGAAAACACUUGAGCACUAUGGUGGUAGGAUCAUAGCUGCGAAAAGAAACUACAGGAAGCAGAACAACAAGACUAUCGAGCAAGAGAAAGCGCGGUAAGAACUGAAGUGUUUAAUCAAAGCAAGAGACAAGCAAAGCAAGGAAGUUGUGUGCAGAUUUAAUCAAAGAAAGGGAAGAUAACGAAAAAGCAUGUCAGAGAACUGCUUCAGAAUCUUCUCCAUUAGGUCAACGAAGUGUUUAUAAGCUUGACAAUUACUACACUAAAUGAUGUAUAGCUUGAACAACUGAAGAAAUGAUUUUUUUUUUAUCACUAUUACCGAGUUACUUUGAAACUGGAGUGUAUGUUUCGAGUAGGGAAAUGAAAGCUCUGAGGCCUGAGCAAAAUGCGACACAAACUUGAAAGAACAAAAGCAAUAUUUUUCCACUGACAAAAACAAUAAGCAAUACACGCAAAA
Camelina sativa (false flax) is the source of this 1219-nucleotide non-coding RNA. The record is from RefSeq and is a predicted model, not a curated record. Lineage: Eukaryota; Viridiplantae; Streptophyta; Magnoliopsida; Brassicales; Brassicaceae.